RNAcentral lists this ribosomal RNA (1437 nucleotides) under uncultured organism. RNAcentral's name for it is "SSU rRNA". It matches the Rfam family "Bacterial small subunit ribosomal RNA". The record is from RNAcentral.
GCUACAGGCUUAACACAUGCAAGUCGAGGGGCAGCAUGGUCUUAGCUUGCUAAGGCCGAUGGCGACCGGCGCACGGGUGAGUAACACGUAUCCAACCUGCCGUCUACUCUUGGACAGCCUUCUGAAAGGAAGAUUAAUACAAGAUGGCAUCAUGAGUCCGCAUGUUCACAUGAUUAAAGGUAUUCCGGUAGACGAUGGGGAUGCGUUCCAUUAGAUAGUAGGCGGGGUAACGGCCCACCUAGUCUUCGAUGGAUAGGGGUUCUGAGAGGAAGGUCCCCCACAUUGGAACUGAGACACGGUCCAAACUCCUACGGGAGGCAGCAGUGAGGAAUAUUGGUCAAUGGGCGAGAGCCUGAACCAGCCAAGUAGCGUGAAGGAUGACUGCCCUAUGGGUUGUAAACUUCUUUUAUAAAGGAAUAAAGUCGGGUAUGCAUACCCGUUUGCAUGUACUUUAUGAAUAAGGAUCGGCUAACUCCGUGCCAGCAGCCGCGGUAAUACGGAGGAUCCGAGCGUUAUCCGGAUUUAUUGGGUUUAAAGGGAGCGUAGAUGGAUGUUUAAGUCAGUUGUGAAAGUUUGCGGCUCAACCGUAAAAUUGCAGUUGAUACUGGAUAUCUUGAGUGCAGUUGAGGCAGGCGGAAUUCGUGGUGUAGCGGUGAAAUGCUUAGAUAUCACGAAGAACUCCGAUUGCGAAGGCAGCCUGCUAAGCUGCAACUGACAUUGAGGCUCGAAAGUGUGGGUAUCAAACAGGAUUAGAUACCCUGGUAGUCCACACGGUAAACGAUGAAUACUCGCUGUUUGCGAUAUACGGCAAGCGGCCAAGCGAAAGCGUUAAGUAUUCCACCUGGGGAGUACGCCGGCAACGGUGAAACUCAAAGAAAUUGACGGGGGCCCGCACAAGCGGAGGAACAUGUGGUUUAAUUCGAUGAUACGCGAGGAACCUUACCCGGGCUUAAAUUGCAGAUGAAUUACGGUGAAAGCCGUAAGCCGCAAGGCAUCUGUGAAGGUGCUGCAUGGUUGUCGUCAGCUCGUGCCGUGAGGUGUCGGCUUAAGUGCCAUAACGAGCGCAACCCUUGUUGUCAGUUACUAACAGGUUCCGCUGAGGACUCUGACAAGACUGCCAUCGUAAGAUGUGAGGAAGGUGGGGAUGACGUCAAAUCAGCACGGCCCUUACGUCCGGGGCUACACACGUGUUACAAUGGGGGGUACAGAGGGCCGCUACCACGCGAGUGGAUGCCAAUCCCCAAAACCUCUCUCAGUUCGGACUGGAGUCUGCAACCCGACUCCACGAAGCUGGAUUCGCUAGUAAUCGCGCAUCAGCCACGGCGCGGUGAAUACGUUCCCGGGCCUUGUACACACCGCCCGUCAAGCCAUGGGAGCCGGGGGUGCCUGAAGUGCGUAACCGCGAGGAGCGCCCUAGGGUAAAACUGGUGACUGGGG